RNAcentral lists this unclassified non-coding RNA (171 nucleotides) under uncultured Amphinema. RNAcentral's name for it is "sequence contains ITS2". Lineage: Eukaryota; Fungi; Basidiomycota; Agaricomycetes; Atheliales; Atheliaceae. The record is from RNAcentral.
AACCAUCAACCUCCUCGUGGGGCUUGGACUUUGGAGCGUGCUGGCCUGAGGUCGGCUCCUCUUUAAGUGCAUCAGCGGAAAGCCAUCGAUGUUUCCCGUCGGCGUGAUAAUCCUGUUGCGCUGCUAGGUCACGUCAGGGUCCGCUUAUAAUGGUCUUCGGACAAACAUCUG